Molecule: small RNA, 402 nt
Filed under: Pan troglodytes (chimpanzee)
Lineage: Eukaryota; Metazoa; Chordata; Mammalia; Primates; Hominidae
Description: processed transcript
Source: RNAcentral
GAUUUUCUUCUAUCAGUGGAACAUCAAACUGGGCUGGAAAGGCAUCGUUAAAGAAUCUGGAGUGAAGCACAAGGGAUUGAUUGAAAUACCCAAUCUUUCUGAGGAAAAUGAAGUAGAUGACACUGAGGUAUGUGAUCAAGUUUCUAUUUCUUUUGUUCUUUUUUCAGUCAAGCUUCUGCUACAGACAUUGGGCAUUUCGAAUAGUGUUGAUCAGACUGUGUGGUUCCUGUGUGGUAGUUCGGGUGCCUUGUGGAGGGCCUGUUUGCCGAGAAGGAUUGCCGUACUGUGGGGGCAGCGUGUUGUGUGGAGCUGGAGUGGUACAGGAAAGAGAGUAAGCCCCAGGAAGCCCUGAGCUCCCCCGAGGACCAGGCAAGGGGCCUGGGCAGCUGGCUGCACCCUCCU